Molecule: ribosomal RNA, 255 nt
Filed under: uncultured bacterium
Lineage: Bacteria
Description: partial 16S ribosomal RNA
Rfam family: Bacterial small subunit ribosomal RNA
Source: RNAcentral
GACAGAGGUGCCGAGCGUUAGGCGGAAUCACUGGGCUUAAAGCGUGUGUAGGCGGAUCUGUAAGUACCUUGUGAAAUCCCACGGCUCAACCGUGGAACUGCUUGGUAUACUGCGGAUCUUGAGCCACCUAGGGGCGAGCGGAACAAGUGGUGGAGCGGUGAAAUGCGUAGAUAUCACUUGGAACGCCAAUGGUGAAAACAGCUCGCUGGGGGUGUGCUGACGGCUGAGACACGAAAGCCAGGGGGAGCAAACGGG